GACGAACGCUGGCGGCGUGCCUAAUACAUGCAAGUUGAGCGCUGAAGGUUGGUACUUGUACCAACUGGAUGAGCAGCGAACGGGUGAGUAACGCGUGGGGAAUCUGCCUUUGAGCGGGGGACAACAUUUGGAAACGAAUGCUAAUACCGCAUAAAAACUUUAAACACAAGUUUUAAGUUUGAAAGAUGCAAUUGCAUCACUCAAAGAUGAUCCCGCGUUGUAUUAGCUAGUUGGUGAGGUAAAGGCUCACCAAGGCGAUGAUACAUAGCCGACCUGAGAGGGUGGUCGGCCACAUUGGGACUGUGACACGGCCCAAACUCCUACGGGAGGCAGCAGUAGGGAAUCUUCGGCAAUGGACGAAAGUCUGACCGAGCAACGCCGCGUGAGUGAAGAAGGUUUUCGGAUCGUAAAACUCUGUUGGUAGAGAAGAACGUUGGUGAGAGUGGAAAGCUCAUCAAGUGACGGUAACUACCCAGAAAGGGACGGCUAACUACGUG
RNAcentral lists this ribosomal RNA (497 nucleotides) under uncultured bacterium. RNAcentral's name for it is "partial 16S ribosomal RNA". It matches the Rfam family "Bacterial small subunit ribosomal RNA", at positions 28 to 507 of the family's 1533-position model. The record is from RNAcentral.